ACUGACACACUCACCAGGAAAUACAGAGCGAGGCUUGUGGAGUAAGGCACCGGAAGUAUUAUAUACUUGCAUGGGACUUAAGACAAAAAAAACAUUCUUCACGUAAGGGGAAGAAAAAGUGGCACAGCAUGCUGGGCAUACAGGAACCUGGAGAGCAGGCGAGCUGCAAGGUGCCUUCCUCUGCACCGAUAAUAUAUAGAUAGAUUCAAAGUUAUUCCAAGAAAUGGGGAAAUCAGCUUUGAAGUUCGGAUCCGUCCCAAAAUCAUUUCACAGGUUACACCGGAUCUGUUUAUGCAGAGGAUUACGUUGGAUUCUGUGAAUUACCUCGAUGACCAUCAUUUAAAAAAAAAAAAUUUCUGUAAUGAAAUGGUUAACAAGAGUUGUGUAUGGGGGCGGGG
Molecule: long non-coding RNA, 398 nt
Organism: Hyla sarda
Lineage: Eukaryota; Metazoa; Chordata; Amphibia; Anura; Hylidae
Exons: 3
Source: RefSeq, a predicted model, not a curated record